RNAcentral lists this transfer RNA (89 nucleotides) under Granulicella mallensis. RNAcentral describes it as "tRNA-Leu". It matches the Rfam family "tRNA". From Rfam's summary of the family: Transfer RNA (tRNA) molecules are approximately 80 nucleotides in length. Their secondary structure includes four short double-helical elements and three loops (D, anti-codon, and T loops). Further hydrogen bonds mediate the characteristic L-shaped molecular structure. tRNAs have two regions of fundamental functional importance: the anti-codon, which is responsible for specific mRNA codon recognition, and the 3' end, to which the tRNAs corresponding amino acid is attached (by aminoacyl-tRNA synthetases). tRNAs cope with the degeneracy of the genetic code in two manners: having more than one tRNA (with a specific anti-codon) for a particular amino acid; and 'wobble' base-pairing, i.e. permitting non-standard base-pairing at the 3rd anti-codon position. Lineage: Bacteria; Pseudomonadati; Acidobacteriota; Terriglobia; Terriglobales; Acidobacteriaceae. RNAcentral also lists the same sequence under 2 other names. The record is from RNAcentral.
GCCCGGAUGGUGAAAUCGGCAGACACAGCGGACUUAAAAUCCGCAGACCUUAAACGGUCGUGGGGGUUCAAGUCCCCCUCCGGGCACCA